RNAcentral lists this small RNA (76 nucleotides) under Xanthomonas arboricola. Its description in RNAcentral is "sX9 sRNA". It matches the Rfam family "Xanthomonas sRNA sX9". Lineage: Bacteria; Pseudomonadati; Pseudomonadota; Gammaproteobacteria; Lysobacterales; Lysobacteraceae. The record is from RNAcentral.
AUGUACCACUCGUACACGCAGGUUCCUCCGCGUCGCCCACGCCCACCUGACGACUGCUCGCUACGUUUCGUUAGCC